UUUCUUAUAAUUUUUGUCCUUAUGAUUCUUGCUGUGUAUAUGGACUACAUAAAUAACUUAGUAUAUUUGGUAUUUGUAACGGAAUUCCGACGAAAUUUUUGUCAGAAUUCUUCAAUUGCAAUAUCUGUGGGCCCUACUCUAUUUUAUUUAUGUAUUAUACUUAGUUUUUCAAUAUGAAAAUGAACUAAGUAUCAUUUUUUAGU
Molecule: long non-coding RNA, 203 nt
Filed under: Panax ginseng (ginseng)
Lineage: Eukaryota; Viridiplantae; Streptophyta; Magnoliopsida; Apiales; Araliaceae
Description: long non-coding RNA (PGIN_LNC014325)
Source: RNAcentral